AACGGUAUGGGUCGUCGAUUCGGA
RNAcentral lists this microRNA (24 nucleotides) under Ananas comosus (pineapple). Its description in RNAcentral is "microRNA s0034_c027". The record is from RNAcentral. Lineage: Eukaryota; Viridiplantae; Streptophyta; Magnoliopsida; Poales; Bromeliaceae.